Non-coding RNA from Peromyscus maniculatus bairdii (prairie deer mouse), 633 nucleotides. The record is from RefSeq and is a predicted model, not a curated record. NCBI's taxonomy places the organism in Eukaryota, Metazoa, Chordata, Mammalia, Rodentia, Cricetidae.
GAUGGAGGGAGGUGUCCUCAGAGCAGCCUAAGCAUGGACAGAGUGGAUUUGGAUAGUAGCACAUGAGACAACAGUGAAAGGAGCCGACUUUGCAUUAGGCAACUUACAAGACUGAAUUCUCUGAUCUGAAGCACAUGGCCACCCACCACUCACCCGGGAAUCAGCAGCAUUUCUGUAGGAAGUGACUCCCUGAGCCUCAACCUUCUCUGUGGAUCUGGGUCAAUGUGUAUACAUGACUUAAUCUGACUGGAUCGAUUGUCCCACUUUUUCUUUCUCUCUCCUGGUAUGCUUUACCACGGAAAGAUGCUUGAGGGAAAAAUUAAGGAAGAGUUUCUCUUCAGAUGUGGAGAAGCUCACCUGGGCCAUGGACUCUGGUUCUUCGGUGGGUUUUGAAGAGAUGUGUGGUGAAUGUGGCAACAAUUUGUCUCCAGAAACGAUCCAUGAUGAAGAGGAAGUCUGAAUACGUGCACUUUGAAAACUGUGUGACAUUAAAUUUUGAAGGAAGGUGUACUCAUCUGGUGCAACUGGCUUCUCCGUCUUCCUCUUUCCUACUCCACUUAGCCCAGUUGUUCUCAAAACACUUUAGUGGUUUUUUAAAAACACUGAAGCUGGGACUGGAGUGAUGGCUGGUCC